CCCUUUGUGAUUGCUUUCAGGCAUCUGAUCUUAUCCAGCAAAAGGUUCAUUGUAAAACCCGACUGUGAGUUUGGGAGUAUUGGACCAUAUUUAUAAUAUCACUCAGUUGUUGGUCAAGUUGAAAAGCAAUCCACUCUUGGAGGGGAGAGAAGGAUAUGGUUGAGGGUUUGUAGCCCAAGGUUGUAUUCUAUCUUGUCUCUCUCUUGAGUCUAGAGAACUCGAGAUAAUUGUCCAUAUUGUGGAAUUAUCAUAACAUGAGCUCAUUUACAACUUUCAGCAAUGGAUCUCUUGGUUCUCGCAUCGAUGAAGAACGCAGUGAAAUGCGAUAACUGGUGUGAAUUGCAUCCAAGUAACUCUAAUUUACGAAUAACACCAAGUGAAUCAUCGAGUCUUUGAACGCAAUUGCGCCCUCUCGGUCGCUUCCAAUUGGGGGUUGACUCAUAGGGGGUACGUCUGUUCGAGGGUCAUUUGAACCUCUCAAAGGGUUUUUGGCUUUAAAAACCCUUUGGAUUUGGGUCUUGCCGUGAAAAUUCUUAUCUUGGCUCACC
Molecule: unclassified non-coding RNA, 548 nt
Filed under: uncultured Craterellus
Lineage: Eukaryota; Fungi; Basidiomycota; Agaricomycetes; Cantharellales; Hydnaceae
Description: sequence contains ITS1, 5.8S rRNA gene and ITS2
Rfam family: 5.8S ribosomal RNA (bases 269-467)
Source: RNAcentral